AGGGUACUUAUGCAAUGCGGGGUCAAGGGCUGUCUACAGAACUCAAAACCAGAUCUUUAGGGAGUGCUAGGAGAAGAGACGGAGCUGAAUAGAGAUGCUUGGGCAUGACUCCUUGGCAGGGAAACCCAGCAAACCCGUAUUAACCUCUUAGUGUGGCCUUGGGAAAAGGUCCCGUGACCAAUGAAAGUGAUAAGAGAAUUGAAAAUUUGGUGAUCGGCGGCACAGUAGAGAAGGAAGAUGCAAAGGGAAACUGGAAAGGCUCUUGAUGUGGAGGGGGGAGACGCUGGGGCCAAGUGCCUCUCAUGGUGAAGACAGUACACAGCAGAGUACAGUUCCUGCCCUCUGGGAGCUCAUCAUCCAAUGGGCACAACAGACAGAUGAUUUAUGAUGUAGCUCUGAUGACUGGAGAACAAAGCAACACUGAAACACAGACGAGAACACCUGAACCAAGACAAGUCUCAUGUCAAGAAAGCUUCCUGGAGCACUCUUCUUGUCACUGCACAAGAUAUUCCUAAAGAUAGAGCUUGUAACUGGUCGCCUUACUACCUCCACAGUGCCUACUAGUCCCACUGGCUUACUAACCCUUCAUAAAUAUCACUCGUCCCUUUGCGUGACAGUUUUCUACAUUGUUCUAUAGCCAAACAGUUUCUACAACUUUGCAAACCCAUGACUGAACGCAUUGCUCUUUUUGUUUCUUUAAACUUGAAUUAAAUGUUUACCUAACUGUAGAAUAUCAAGAAAAAUCCCACUUUUACCUCCUUCUAUCCAAAAGGCAAUUUCUCGUUCACCACCUCUUCUUUCUUUUACUUAUGAGAACUUGGAUACUUGAGUGUUUGUAUACAUGAAAGCAAAAUAGGAUUCUGUUUGUAUGCAUCUUACAAUUAGAAAAAUAAAUAAAAAUAAACUUACCAAUUAAAAAUCUUCAGAUCACAUUGAUGGCCUGGGUUA
Mustela erminea (ermine) is the source of this 948-nucleotide long non-coding RNA. RefSeq lists it as uncharacterized. NCBI's taxonomy places the organism in Eukaryota, Metazoa, Chordata, Mammalia, Carnivora, Mustelidae. The record is from RefSeq and is a predicted model, not a curated record. The transcript has 3 exons.